RNAcentral lists this long non-coding RNA (285 nucleotides) under Lathyrus oleraceus (garden pea). Its description in RNAcentral is "Pisum sativum (pea) long non-coding RNA (PSAT_LNC036699)". Lineage: Eukaryota; Viridiplantae; Streptophyta; Magnoliopsida; Fabales; Fabaceae. The record is from RNAcentral.
CCACAUAAGAUAAGAUAUCCCUCUUUGAGUUGUCAGUAUUAAAUUAUCAUGGACUGUUGUAAAUAAAUUUUAACAGCUUCAAGAUAUAAAGUUAAAUUAUGUGAUAGAAACACAACAUAUUUGCAGCAAGGUUAAGGAUAUAUUAAUCAAAAGACAAACCUUUCUCUGUGUAGGAACAAACUUCCAUGGCAUUCCAUCAGCAAUAUUAUUAGCAUAAAAGCAAAAUCUAGAUAGAUGCAAAGUAAAUUAAUGGAGGUUUGGACCGUAAGUACAGUUCUGAUGAAA